AUUGAACGCUGGCGGAAUGCUUUACACGUGCAAGUCGAACGAUGAACCUUAGCUUGCUAAGGGGAUUAGUGGCGAACGGGUGAGUAAUAUAUCGGAACGUGCCUUGUAAUGGGGGAUAACUAGUCGAAAGAUUAGCUAAUACCGCAUACGCCCUGAGGGGGAAAGUAGGGGAUCUUCGGACCUUACGUUAUAAGAGCGGCCGAUAUCUGAUUAGCUAGUUGGUGGGGUAAUGGCCUACCAAGGCGACGAUCAGUAGCUGGUCUGAGAGGACGACCAGCCACACUGGAACUGAGACACGGUCCAGACUCCUACGGGAGGCAGCAGUGGGGAAUUUUGGACAAUGGGCGCAAGCCUGAUCCAGCCAUUCCGCGUGAGUGAAGAAGGCCUUCGGGUUGUAAAGCUCUUUCGCAAGGGAAGAAAACUUACCAUCGAAUAAAUGGUGAGGCUGACGGUACCUUGAUAAGAAGCACCGGCUAACUACGUG
RNAcentral lists this ribosomal RNA (484 nucleotides) under uncultured bacterium. RNAcentral describes it as "partial 16S ribosomal RNA". It matches the Rfam family "Bacterial small subunit ribosomal RNA", at positions 30 to 507 of the family's 1533-position model. The record is from RNAcentral.